RNAcentral lists this long non-coding RNA (867 nucleotides) under Homo sapiens (human). RNAcentral's name for it is "HSALNT0349135". Lineage: Eukaryota; Metazoa; Chordata; Mammalia; Primates; Hominidae. The record is from RNAcentral.
CUAGGAAAACAACUCUGACACACAGAUUUACAUACAAAACUCUUUUUUGUUUAUUUUUUGGUCUUUUGUUUUGUUUUGUUUCGGGGGGAAAGAAGUGGUUUUCUUUGUCAUCCUGGUCCUUAAUAGUAUUAGCCAAGGCUCCUCUCAGCUGCUCUCCUGCCCUGCUCUGCCCUCUACAGCCCUCUCUUGGAAGGACUCCCCUCUCCACCAGUAGAGGACGCCAAUGUGACAUGAAGGCUGCUGGGAAAUGUAGUCCAUGGUCUUAAAGGGUCUGCUCUGAGUCCCAGGAACCCCUCCUCUAGCUGCAGGAUGGGCUUAAACCUUUUAAGCCUAGAAUUUACAACAGUUUGGGGGCCUUUCUCUCUUGGUUCUUCAAUUAGCCCUAUCCAGAACACUUUGCAAAGCUUAAGGAGAGCCCAGGGCUGUUCACAACUUCCCCUUCCUCUAAGGCCUCCAGCACAGUGAGGUAAUGGAAUUGUGAUUAUGACAUCAUGGACAGUUCAGCUGCUUGCACUGGGGGAAAGGGAGAGUAUCAUGGUUACAGCUGGAUCACCUAAGGCAGAGAGGGAAGGAACCAACAGGUAUAUGAAGAAGACUGUAUUUCCUCCUCAGGAAGAAAAAAUCACCUAUAAAAUACAACAUAUAGCAUUGAUACAAAGGAUGCACUAAAGGAUGGACACAAAUGAAAGAACUGAGACAUGAAUUUGUUCUUAAGAAAAUUAUUCUCCAUUCUUUGAGAAGUCAACUGAAUAGGAUGAAGAAACUGCUCUAUGUUAUCAAGUUUUUAAAUUUUGUAUUUACUUAUUUACUUUUGUUGUUACUUAAAUCAACUUUAAAAUAAAAUAAAAUUUAUAUUUGAGUACAAAA